This 496-nucleotide ribosomal RNA is filed under the name uncultured bacterium. RNAcentral describes it as "partial 16S ribosomal RNA". It matches the Rfam family "Bacterial small subunit ribosomal RNA", at positions 29 to 507 of the family's 1533-position model. The record is from RNAcentral.
AUGAACGCUGGCGGCGUGCCUCAUACAUGCAAGUCGAGCGAACAGAUAAGGAGCUUGCUCCUUUGACGUUAGCGGCGGACGGGUGAGUAACACGUGGGUAACCUACCUAUAAGACUGGGAUAACUUCGGGAAACCGGAGCUAAUACCGGAUAACAUUUGGAACCGCAUGGUUCUAAAGUGAAAGAUGGUUUUGCUAUCACUUAUAGAUGGACCCGCGCCGUAUUAGCUAGUUGGUAAGGUAACGGCUUACCAAGGCGACGAUACGUAGCCGACCUGAGAGGGUGAUCGGCCACACUGGAACUGAGACACGUUCCAGACUCCUACGGGAGGCAGCAGUAGGGAAUCUUCCGCAAUGGGCGAAAGCCUGACGGAGCAACGCCGCGUGAGUGAUGAAGGGUUUCGGCUCGUAAAACUCUGUUAUUAGGGAAGAACAAACGUGUAAGUAACUGUGCACGUCUUGACGGUACCUAAUCAGAAAGCCACGGCUAACUACGUG